Molecule: ribosomal RNA, 492 nt
Filed under: uncultured bacterium
Lineage: Bacteria
Description: bacterial SSU rRNA
Rfam family: Bacterial small subunit ribosomal RNA
Source: RNAcentral
GAUCCUGGCUUAGGACGAACGCUGGCGGCGUGCCUAACACAUGCAAGUCGAACGGAGUUAAUGGUUCGGUUGUUAACUUAGUGGCGAACGGGUGAGUAACGCGUGAACAACCUGACCCAAAGAGGGGGAUAACAUUUGGAAACAGAUGCUAAUACCGCAUAAGACCACAACGUCACAUGGCGAAGGGGUCAAAGGAGCAAUCCGCUUUGGGAGGGGUUCGCGUCCCAUUAGGUAGUAGGCGGGGUAACAGCCCACCUAGCCAACGAUGGGUAGCCGAGCUGAGAGGCUGAUCGGCCACACUGGAACUGAGACACGGUCCAGACUCCUACGGGAGGCAGCAGUGGGGAAUAUUGGGCAAUGGGCGCAAGCCUGAACCCCAGCAACGCCGCGUGAGGGAAGAAGGUUUUCGGAUUGUAAACCUCUGUCGCAGAAGACGAAGGAAGUGACGGUAUUCUGUGAGGAAGCCCCGGCUAACUACGUGCCAGCCGCUGC